GACGUAGGUGGCGAACGUUAUCCGGAAUUAUUGGGCGUAAAGGAUGCGUAGAUGGUGUAGUAAGUUAUCGGUGGCAAAUCGAGGCUCAACCUCGUGGAAGUCGGUAAUACUGCUAUGCUAGAGGAUAGGAGAGGUUAACGGAACUCCCUGUGGAGCGGUGAAAUGCGUAGAUAUAGGGAAGAACACCAAUCAGGCGAAGGCAGUUAACUAUUCUGUUACUGACAUUGAGGCACGAAAGCGUGGGGAGCAAAACGG
This 255-nucleotide ribosomal RNA is filed under the name uncultured bacterium. RNAcentral's name for it is "partial 16S ribosomal RNA". It matches the Rfam family "Bacterial small subunit ribosomal RNA", at positions 524 to 776 of the family's 1533-position model. The record is from RNAcentral.